Molecule: long non-coding RNA, 472 nt
Organism: Micropterus dolomieu (smallmouth bass)
Lineage: Eukaryota; Metazoa; Chordata; Actinopteri; Centrarchiformes; Centrarchidae
Exons: 3
Source: RefSeq, a predicted model, not a curated record
CACUCACCAACAGCCGGGCUGCCACCGCGACAGUUAUGUAUAUCAGUACCAUGAUAUAAAAAGCCCGGCUGACAAUCCACGCCUGUGCCUCAUCAACUUCCACCUCCGCCUCCCACACCUGCCAGCUAUCAGCCUCAUCUCUACCAGUAUUUCAACCCUGACUCUCCACUACAUCCCUGCUUGAUUGUCGACAUUCCAGACUUGUCAGCUGGGCUCGCUUACCUGCCUUCUCCCCUUGUCUCGCCUCCACGGCACUCCCCCAGCUCCCCCCUCACUCCUCGCCUGUCUGCCAGCCUCUACGCCCCUUCUCGCCUCUGCCUCCUGUUCCCUACCUCGGCCGCCUCGCUGGAACCUCUCCAGCCCCGCCAGCUCCACGGUCCUCCGCGCCCACGUCUGCCAGUGUCCAACUCCCCCGCCCCCUUUUCCUCCAGCCCCUCAUCUCCCCUUAUUCCCUUUAAUAAACCUCUUUGAA